Molecule: non-coding RNA, 89 nt
Filed under: Eubacterium aggregans
Lineage: Bacteria; Bacillati; Bacillota; Clostridia; Eubacteriales; Eubacteriaceae
Description: c-di-GMP-I riboswitch aptamer
Rfam family: c-di-GMP-I riboswitch aptamer
About the family: GEMM was predicted in a large-scale screen for bacterial structured RNA regulatory elements. Genes associated with GEMM are involved in a diverse array of functions, including chemotaxis regulation, signal transduction, secretion and chitin.
Source: Rfam by way of RNAcentral
UACAUAAAUAGGCAAACCUGUCGAAAGGCAGUGGACGCAAAGCUAAAGGGUCUAAAACCGCAGUGCGGUAAGGGCAGCCAGUUGCAAAA